Notechis scutatus (mainland tiger snake) is the source of this 1056-nucleotide non-coding RNA. The record is from RefSeq and is a predicted model, not a curated record. NCBI's taxonomy places the organism in Eukaryota, Metazoa, Chordata, Lepidosauria, Squamata, Elapidae.
ACUAUACUUUUCAGAUAGGAUCACCUAUAAAUAGUGUUUUGGUAUUGGUUUCCCAUAUCUGACACUCUGAAUCUUCUAUCUUGGUCAUCUUUGAAUAUUUUGUUAUUUCUAUGUUGACUGUUCCCUGCCCAAGUACAUUACAAGUAAUCCUUGAUUUACAACUGUAACUGAAUAUGGAAUUAUACUCGUAAGUCAUGCCAGUCAUGAAGCAGUGCCCAUGACUGUACCCGAUUUCAUAAUCUUUUUUGUGGUAGUCAUUAGAUGAAUGCUGUGGUUGCUAAGCAAAUCCAUUGUCCACAAUGGGCAUUUUUGCUAACAACUAGAAGGACAUGGGAAAGUUGUAAAUCGUGAUCACUUAUCUGUGGGACACCUCCAUAAAUGUGGACCUGUUGCCGAAUACCCAAAACAUGAUCAUGUGAUUAUGGGGUGAUGCCCAACUAUCACAACUUCAAAUCCGGAUUGCAAAUACCUUUGGGGUGGGGUGUUGUCAUAGCUUUGAGUGAUCGCUAAGCAAACGGUCAUACAUUGAGGACUCCCUACACAAAUAUAUGGGAUUGUGAUAUUCGUGAUGUUCUGAUAUCUCCCUCUUGCUCCCCAUUAAUGUAGGCAUACUUUUUUGAUGCCCCUGAACUGGAGGUCCUUUCAUUGACUACAGUGCUUCCACCUAAUGGAACAAUAGAAGUAACAAAGGCUCAGUAAAUAAGGAGAUUCCUAUGAAGUUCCGAAUCAGCUGAAUUGGUCUGCUUGAGAGUGAUUUUGUUGCUGCACAAAGAGAAGCAACCCAAAAUGAAACCUGGACCACGAGGAAACUUUGAGUGGGACUUUGGGUCUCUAGAUACCAUUUGAAUGUAAACACACUGUCUAUAAAAACGUAUAUAGUGUGCUUUUCUGCAAAAUGCCACAGAAAGAAAUAGAGAGUUAUUUCAAAACUUUCCAAAUUAAAAUAAUUACUGUUGAACAUUUGUUGUCUUUAGGAACCAUGUUUUUUUUUAAAUAUUAAAUCAGCUAUAGCAAUAGCAAUAGCACUUAGACUUAUAUACCAUUUCACAGCCCUCU